UACGUAGGGGGCAAGCGUUGUCCGGAUUCAUUGGGCGUAAAGAGCGUGUAGGCGGCCAGGUAGGUCGGUUGUGAAAACUGGAGGCUCAACCUUCAGAGGUCGACCGAAACCAUCUGGCUAGAGUCCGGAAGAGGAGAGUGGAAUUCCUGGUGUAGCGGUGAAAUGCGCAGAUAUCAGGAAGAACACCCGUGGCGAAGGCGGCUCUCAGGGACGGUACUGACGCUGAGACGCGAAAGCGUGGGGAGCGAACAGG
This 253-nucleotide ribosomal RNA is filed under the name uncultured bacterium. RNAcentral describes it as "partial 16S ribosomal RNA". It matches the Rfam family "Bacterial small subunit ribosomal RNA", at positions 524 to 776 of the family's 1533-position model. The record is from RNAcentral.